This 491-nucleotide ribosomal RNA is filed under the name uncultured bacterium. RNAcentral's name for it is "partial 16S ribosomal RNA". It matches the Rfam family "Bacterial small subunit ribosomal RNA", at positions 29 to 506 of the family's 1533-position model. The record is from RNAcentral.
AGUGAACGCUGGCGGUAGGCCUAACACAUGCAAGUCGAACGGCAGCACAGUAAGAGCUUGCUCUUACGGGUGGCGAGUGGCGGACGGGUGAGGAAUACAUCGGAAUCUACUUUUUCGUGGGGGAUAACGUAGGGAAACUUACGCUAAUACCGCAUACGACCUACGGGUGAAAGCAGGGGAUCUUCGGACCUUGCGCGAUUGAAUGAGCCGAUGUCGGAGUAGCUAGUUGGCGGGGUAAAGGCCCACCAAGGCGACGAUCCGUAGCUGGUCUGAGAGGAGGAUCAGCCACAGUGGAACUGAGACACGGUCCAGACUCCGACGGGAGGCAGCAGUGGGGAAUAUUGGACAAUGGGCGCAAGCCUGAUCCAGCCAUACCGCGUGGGUGAAGAAGGCCUUCGGGUUGUAAAGCCCUUUUGUUGGGAAAGAAAAGCAGCAGGUUAAUACCCCGCUGUUCUGACGGUACCCAAAGAAUAAGCACCGGCUAACUUCGU